RNAcentral lists this long non-coding RNA (830 nucleotides) under Vulpes vulpes (red fox). Its description in RNAcentral is "lncRNA (ENSVVUG00000002558.1)". The record is from RNAcentral. Lineage: Eukaryota; Metazoa; Chordata; Mammalia; Carnivora; Canidae.
AUAUGGAUGCAACAAAUAUCUGAAUGAUGACAUCGUGGGAUCCCCGGAGCAGUGCAAAGUGGCCAUCUCCUGCAUCGUGGACAUUUGGCUGGAGUAUAUCAGGAGGAUUUUCAUCAGCCACCAGAAUUUCUCUCCCUGAGGAAGCUGCUGGAAUUCAUGGGGCUCAACAUGCCAGGCUCAGACCUGGAAAACUGGGCCCAGCGUUACCUGGAACGAUUCAGCUACCUGGAGCUCGUGGAAUUAGACGAUGAGGAUGAGGAGGACUGGGGGUGGCCGAGCUUGGGACAGGGUGGGCCACACAGACCCAACCUCCGUGAAGCUGGGCCAGGAGCAGUGGCUUCGGCCCCGGAGCAACACCCUAACCCACCUCAGGAGCCCACCCCAGCUCCGACUGUGUGGCCUGCGGCACCUUCAGGGCCUGAGGUGACCGAGCCAGUCCCGGCUGCUGGAGGUGAGGGCUUGGCCCAAGCUGAGAUGCCGGCUGCUGAGUUCAAGUCAAUGCACAUGGUUUUGGCACCUAUGAUUCCCCACCCUGAUGAGGAGCCACCUGCACCCUCAGCCACCCGGUGGAGGAGUAGGCCCUGGCGCCUGCAGUCAGGGUCCCCAAAGUGCCAGGGCCGCCACCUGCCUCUGGAGCAACUGGUUUUGACCCCUGAGCAACCCCCUGAACCACCUCAGGAGCCACCUCAGCUCCUACCGCAGGGCUCGUGAUAGCUGCAGCCCAACGGAGGCUUCCCUCCCCAUCAUUGCGCUGUUUCCAUAUUUUGUUUUUCUUUAACCUCUAUAAUGGCUUAUGAAUUUUAUUUGUAAUAAAAGAUAAGUUAACGGCA